Molecule: RNA transcript, 1512 nt
Organism: Brassica rapa (field mustard)
Lineage: Eukaryota; Viridiplantae; Streptophyta; Magnoliopsida; Brassicales; Brassicaceae
Gene name: probable leucine-rich repeat receptor-like protein kinase At1g35710
Source: RefSeq, a predicted model, not a curated record
ACCGGUCGUUGAGAUACUGGUUUGAAUACGGUUUACGAAUCUCAAGGGGAAGAGAAGAAAAUGGCUUUUAUAUACAUUCUCUUUUAGAUCCGUUUUCUCUCUUUCAAACAAUGGCGUCUUCUCGCUGUGAGCUACUUGUGAUCUGUGUCUUGUCUCUCUUCUUUGUUUUUGCUCACUCCAAGACGUUGAAGCGUGAUGUGAAAGCUUUGAAUGAAAUAAAAGCCUCUUUGGGAUGGAGAGUGGUGUAUUCAUGGGUUGGUGAUGAUCCUUGUGGAGAUGGAGACCUUCCUCCUUGGUCUGGUGUCACCUGUUCCACACAAGGUGACUAUAGGGUUGUCACAGAACUAGAAGUUUACGCAGUUUCUAUUGUUGGACCUUUCCCCAUUGCAGUAACAAACCUUUUGGACUUGACUAGACUGGAUCUACAUAACAACAAGCUGACUGGUCCAAUCCCACCACAGAUUGGGCGACUAAAACGGCUCAAAGUACUGAACCUGAGGUGGAAUAAGCUACAAGAUGUGAUUCCUCCUGAGAUUGGAGAGCUGAAGAGGCUAACACAUCUGUACUUGAGCUUCAAUAGCUUCAAAGGAGAGAUUCCAAAGGAACUAGCUUCCCUUCCGGAGCUUCGCUAUUUAUAUCUUCAAGAAAACCGUCUCAUUGGUAGAAUACCUGCUGAGCUAGGGACGCUUCAGAACCUCCGCCACCUAGAUGUUGGUAACAAUCACUUGGUGGGAACUAUAAGGGAGCUUAUUCGUUUUGAUGGUAGCUUCCCAGCUCUUCGCAACCUGUACUUGAAUAAUAACUAUUUGAGUGGAGGCAUCCCUGCUCAGCUAUCUAAACUUACGAACUUAGAGAUUGUGUACCUGUCUUACAACAAGUUCAUUGGAAACAUUCCUUUUGCCAUUUCUCAUAUUCCUAAGUUGACAUUCCUGUAAGUAUCUUGAUCACAACCAGUUUACUGGGAGGAUCCCGGACGCAUUCUACAAGCAUCCAUUCCUCAAAGAAAUGUACAUUGAAGGCAACAUGUUCAAACAAGGUGCAAACUCAAUUGGCACACACAUAGUUCUAGAAGUUUCUGAUUCCGAUUUUGUCGUGUGAUAGAAGAUUCUAGGAGAAUCUAGAGAGAACAAAGUCUCUGAACUACCUAGAGAUGGUUCCACUUUAGCCUACUUUAUUACACUAGAGAGAACAAAGUCUCUGAACAAAUUCAUUGUUUUGUCUCUAGACUGUUCUUCUAUCUAGCUCUUCGUUUGUCAGACUUGUUUCUAAGACUCUUGUGUUUAAACUCUUGUAGUGUUUUUGACAAAAAUAAAUAAAACAAACUAACAUCUUUAACAAAAAUUGUAAAACAAAAACAAAGAAAAAAUAUUAACAAAACUAAUAAAAAGCUCAUAUGUUAACAUGUGGCUCAACAUAAAAAUAAAAUUUGAUAUGCAAUAAUUCAAAACAAUUUUUUUUUUUAAAACAACUUAAAAUACAAAAAUUAAACACAUUUUUCAUAAAAUAUGUAUA